UGACACCAAAGCUAGCGGUAAAUAUAUAAUUCUCCCACUCUUCAUCUAUCAUACUAUUAUUCUUGCAGGUUUUUUCGAUUUAUUGUGGAUGCAAGAUAUUAAUGAAUAUAUGGAUUUUAUUUAUUUUAUGUUAUUAAUAUGUAUCUUGAAAUCACGAUGAUCCGAAUCUAAAUAUGAUUAAUAUUGGUUCUGAAAUCUGGGUGACA
Molecule: unclassified non-coding RNA, 206 nt
Filed under: Hevea brasiliensis (rubber tree)
Lineage: Eukaryota; Viridiplantae; Streptophyta; Magnoliopsida; Malpighiales; Euphorbiaceae
Source: RNAcentral